This is a long non-coding RNA of Photinus pyralis (common eastern firefly), 427 nucleotides long. RefSeq lists it as uncharacterized. NCBI's taxonomy places the organism in Eukaryota, Metazoa, Arthropoda, Insecta, Coleoptera, Lampyridae. The transcript is spliced from 3 exons. The record is from RefSeq and is a predicted model, not a curated record.
CUAGGUCGACGGAAGUCAUUGCGCCUUCCCGGUUUUUUUAUUCUUGAUUAUUUUGGUGGUGGUGUUUUGAAGGUGUAUUUACAGUUUUCCGUGCGGCGCUGGCAAAAAACAAGUUUAUGGAUAGUGCUGCCAUCGUAUUUUAAUUUUGGACUUAAUACUAUUACGAAAGUGUGACGUCAUUCACGUCUUAUCCCGACCCCAAACAGCUGAUGGGAGUUUGUUUACCUUAUUUGUAACAUGGCGUUAAUAAACUUGUCCGACCUUUUCGAGCAUUUUCUGAAGAAAUUACCGCGUUUGGUAAAUGCGAAUAUACCUAGUUAGUGGAAAUGUGCUUGCGGUGUAAUUUAAUGGACAUGAACAAAUAAUGCUUAUAAAUGAAUGAAGGAAGUAUGAAAAGAAAUGCAAGUGGCGGUUAAUUUAAACGAAG